UACAGAGGGGGCAAGCGUUAUUCGGAAUUAUUGGGCGUAAAGGGCGCGUAGGCGGUGGUUCAAGUCGGAUGUGUAAUCCCCGGGCUCAACCUGGGAACUGCAUCCGAGACUGUGUCGCUAGAGUGCUGGAGAGGGUGGUGGAAUUCCUCGUGUAGCGGUGAAAUGCGUAGAGAUGAGGAGGAACACCAGUGGCGAAGGCGGCCACCUGGACAGUAACUGACGCUGAGGCGCGAAAGUGUGGGGAGCAAACAGG
This 253-nucleotide ribosomal RNA is filed under the name uncultured bacterium. Its description in RNAcentral is "partial 16S ribosomal RNA". It matches the Rfam family "Bacterial small subunit ribosomal RNA", at positions 524 to 776 of the family's 1533-position model. The record is from RNAcentral.